RNAcentral lists this unclassified non-coding RNA (376 nucleotides) under soil metagenome. RNAcentral describes it as "partial contains 5.8S ribosomal RNA, internal transcribed spacer 2, and large subunit ribosomal RNA". The stretch from base 1 to 120 matches the Rfam family "5.8S ribosomal RNA", at positions 35 to 154 of the family's 154-position model. The record is from RNAcentral.
GAUGAAGAACGCAGCGAAAUGCGAUAAGUAAUGUGAAUUGCAGAAUUCAGUGAAUCAUCGAAUCUUUGAACGCAUCUUGCGCUCCUUGGUAUUCUGAGGAGCAUGCCUGUUUGAGUGUCAUUAAAUUCUCAACUACACUGACUUUGAAUUGGUGUGGCUUGGAUUUGGGGGGAAAAUUGUUGUGGGCUUUUUGUAUAGUCUGCUCCCCUGAAAUUGAUUAGCGGUACCUUUGUGGAACUGUCUACAGGUGUGAUAAUUAUCUACAUCUUAGACAUCUGCUGGAAUGCUGCUUUCUAAACCUUACUUGUAUUGACAAUCUUGACCUCAGAUCAGGUAGGACUAACCGCUGAACUUAAGCAUAUCAAUAAGCGGAGGA